UUCGCAAUGCCCGAAAGGGUGACGAAGCGACGCCGCGUGCGGGAAGAAGGCCUUCGGGUUGUAAACCGCUGUCGGGGGUUAAGAAAUGUAAGGAUGUCAAUAGCAUCUUUGCUUGACUAAGGCUCCGGAGGAAGCCACGGCUAACUCUGUGCCAGCAGCCGCGGUAAUACAGAGGCGGCAAGCGUUGUUCGGAAUUAUUGGGCGUAAAGAGCACGUAGGCGGCUAUGUAAGUCGGUUGUGAAAGCCUUCCGCUCAACGGGAGAACAGCAUCCGAUACUGCAUGGCUUGAGUGCGGGAGGGGAGAGUGGAACUUCUGGUGGAGCGGUGAAAUGCGUAGAUAUCAGAAGGAACGCCGGCGGCGAAAGCGGCUCUCUGGCCCAUAACUGACGCUGAGUGUGCGAAAGCUAGGGGAGCAAACGGGAUUAGAUACCCCGGUAGUCCUAGCCGUAAACGAUGGGCACUAAGUAGAGGGGUUUU
This 477-nucleotide ribosomal RNA is filed under the name uncultured bacterium. RNAcentral's name for it is "bacterial SSU rRNA". It matches the Rfam family "Bacterial small subunit ribosomal RNA", at positions 365 to 832 of the family's 1533-position model. The record is from RNAcentral.